GAUGAACGCUGGCGGUAUGCUUAACACAUGCAAGUCGAACGGACUCUUCGGAGUUAGUGGCGGACGGGUGAGUAACGCGUGAGAAUCUGGCUUUGGGUUCGGGACAACCACUGGAAACGGUGGCUAAUACCGGAUGUGCCGAGAGGUAAAAGAGAAAUUGCCUGAAGAUGAGCUCGCGUCUGAUUAGCUAGUUGGUGAGGUAAAGGCUCACCAAGGCAGCGAUCAGUAGCUGGUCUGAGAGGAUGACCAGCCACACUGGGACUGAGACACGGCCCAGACUCCUACGGGAGGCAGCAGUGGGGAAUUUUCCGCAAUGGGCGAAAGCCUGACGGAGCAAUACCGCGUGAGGGAAGAAGGCUCUUGGGGUGUAAACCUCUUUUCUCAGGGAAGAACAAAAUGACGGUACCUAAGGAAUCAGCAUCGGCUAACUCCGUG
RNAcentral lists this ribosomal RNA (435 nucleotides) under uncultured bacterium. RNAcentral's name for it is "partial 16S ribosomal RNA". It matches the Rfam family "Bacterial small subunit ribosomal RNA", at positions 28 to 507 of the family's 1533-position model. The record is from RNAcentral.